This 253-nucleotide ribosomal RNA is filed under the name uncultured bacterium. RNAcentral's name for it is "partial 16S ribosomal RNA". It matches the Rfam family "Bacterial small subunit ribosomal RNA", at positions 524 to 776 of the family's 1533-position model. The record is from RNAcentral.
UACGGGGGGUGCGAGCGUUGUCCGGAAUCACUGGGCGUAAAGAGCGCGCAGGCGGUCGAUCAAGUCGCGUGUGAAAGCCCCCGGCUCAACUGGGGAGGGUCACGCGAUACUGAUCGACUCGAAGGCAGGAGAGGGUAGUGGAAUUCCCGGUGUAGUGGUGAAAUGCGUAGAUAUCGGGAGGAACACCAGUGGCGAAGGCGACUACCUGGCCUGUUCUUGACGCUGAGGCGCGAAAGCUAGGGGAGCAAACGGG